Molecule: transfer RNA, 74 nt
Filed under: Keteleeria davidiana
Lineage: Eukaryota; Viridiplantae; Streptophyta; Pinopsida; Pinales; Pinaceae
Description: tRNA-Met
Rfam family: tRNA
About the family: Transfer RNA (tRNA) molecules are approximately 80 nucleotides in length. Their secondary structure includes four short double-helical elements and three loops (D, anti-codon, and T loops).
Source: RNAcentral
UGCGGAGUAAAGUAGUCUGGUAGCUCGCAAGGCUCAUAACCUUGAGGUCACGGGUUCAAAUCCUGUCUCCGCCA